This 233-nucleotide non-coding RNA is filed under the name Desulfonatronospira thiodismutans. Lineage: Bacteria; Pseudomonadati; Thermodesulfobacteriota; Desulfovibrionia; Desulfovibrionales; Desulfonatronovibrionaceae. RNAcentral also lists the same sequence under 1 other name. The record is from RNAcentral.
GCUUUUUAAAAUUACUCAGGUGCCCGCAAGGGCUUGAAAGGGAAUCCCGUGCAAGUCGGGAACGGACCCGCCGCUGUAAUCGGGGACGAACAGCGCAUUAUGCCACUUUCUUCCCGCACUUACUUUUUCUUAAGCUAAAUCUGCAUGAUAGAAAAGUAAGUGCGGGGGUUGGGAAGGCGCGCCUAUUAGAAUGAUCCGAGAGUCAGAAGACCUGCCUGGGUGAGUUGUGCAAC